RNAcentral lists this ribosomal RNA (1223 nucleotides) under metagenome. RNAcentral describes it as "SSU rRNA". It matches the Rfam family "Eukaryotic small subunit ribosomal RNA", at positions 528 to 1790 of the family's 1831-position model. The record is from RNAcentral.
AAUCCUUUAACGAGGAACUAUUGGAGGGCAAGUCUGGUGCCAGCAGCCGCGGUAAUUCCAGCUCCAAUAGCGUAUAUUAAAGUUGUUGCGUCUAAAAAGCUCGUAGUUUGAAAACUUGCCUUGGCUUACAACAGACGUCUAAGGGCGUCACCGUUUGUCGAGAGCAAAUAUGGGUGACUGUUCUUGCCUUCUUCACUGAUUGGCUCGUAAAAGUCAUCGAAGAUCACUUUGAUUAAAUUAGGGUGCUCAAAGCAAGUGUGCUACUUGAAUAUGAAUGCAUGGAAUGAUGGAAUAUGUUGUUGUUCUAUUUGUUGGUUUUUUGAAUGACGAAAUGAUUGAAAGGAACUGUUGGGGGCAUUCGUAUUGUUGUGAGAGAGGUGAAAUUCUAGACCAUAGCAAGACGAACUACUGCGAAAGCAUUUGCCAAGAAUGUUUUCAUUGAUCAAGAACGAAAGUUAGAGGUUCGAAGGCGAUCAGAUACCGCCCUAGUUCUAACCAUAAACUAUGCCGACUAGCAAUUUGCUUUGUAUUUUUAUGACUAAGUGAGAGGCCACGGGAAACCAAAGUAGGGUUAUGGGGGAAGUAUGGUUGCAAAGCUGAAACUUAAAGGAAUUGACGGAAGGGCACCACCAGGAGUGGAGCCUGCGGCUUAAUUUGACCCAACACGGGAAAACUUACCUGGUCCUGACACUAGAAGGAUUGACAGAUUGAUAGCUCUUUCUUGAUUUGGUGGAUGGUGGUGCAUGGCCGUUCUUAGUUGGUGGAGUGAUUUGUCUGGUUAAUUCCGAUAACGAACGAGACUCUAGCCUAUUAAAUAAUAUGCGGAAUCAAUUUCUCCCGCGUUAUUUCUUAAUGGGAUCAAGCGUGUUUAACGCUUUGAAACAGAGCAAUAACAGGUCUGUGAUGCCCUUAGAUGUUCGGGGCUGCACGCGCGCUACAUUGAAGAACAAAGUGAGCCCUCUGGCUUUUAACAAAGCUAGAAAUCUUUUAAUGUUCUUCUUAAUGGGGAUAGGGGAUUGCAAUUGUGCCCCUUGAACAAGGAAUUCCCAGUAAGUGCUAGUCAUUAGCUAGUACUGAUUACGUCCCUGCCCUUUGUACACACCGCCCGUCGCUACUACCGAUUGAAUAGUUUAGUGAGAUCAUCUGAGUGUUUGUAUGUGCAUUCUGUGCUUGUAUGGUGUACGAAGAAGAUCAAACUUGAUUAUUUAGAGGAAGUAAAAGUC